RNAcentral lists this ribosomal RNA (301 nucleotides) under uncultured bacterium. Its description in RNAcentral is "partial 16S ribosomal RNA". It matches the Rfam family "Bacterial small subunit ribosomal RNA", at positions 509 to 807 of the family's 1533-position model. The record is from RNAcentral.
CAGUCGCCACGGUAAUACGAAGGGUGCAAGCGUUACUCGGAAUUACUGGGCGUAAAGCGUGCGUAGGUGGUGGUUUAAGUCCGUUGUGAAAGCCCUGGGCUCAACCUGGGAAUUGCAGUGGAUACUGGGUCACUAGAGUGUGGUAGAGGAUAGUGGAAUUUCCGGUGUAGCAGUGAAAUGCGUAGAGAUCGGAGGGAACAUCUGUGGCGAAGGCGACUAUCUGGGCCAACACUGACACUGAGGCACGAAAGCGUGGGGAGCAAACAGGAUUAGAUACCCCAGUAGUCCCUGUCUCUUAUAC